AUGUUAUUGUAAAUUUUCAGAUUAUUUACCUGACUUCUCUCUGGGAAGGUGAACCCGACGCGCUCUCCCUGUUCCCCUCGCUGAGUGCAGCUGCCCGCGUUUGCACAUGGAGACUGUUGGACCCACACAGGGCUCUGAAAGGUGAGCAAUGAGACAUCAGACCAGAAAGAAAGUCACUGGGACUCAUGGAAGGACAUGGUAGUAGUUCCUGAGUUCCUUUUGCCUCGUAUUUCCCAGACUGGAUCUGGAGAAGCCAGGACCUGGACACAUCAGCAGGGACAGGGAGGACCCUUCAAGUCAAAGCAGCAGGACAGAACGAGCAGAGAGGAAAGCAGGACAUCCUCAGCAGACAGACAACCAGGCAGUGUGUCACCAGCAGAUCUGCUCUAAAGAAUCGUUCAAGUGUCUUAAAGAGAAAGCAAAUUAUAAAAUAGGGAAUCUUGGGUCACCCUGGAGGAAAAGAAAACACAAAAAGACACAUUUAUGGGUAAGUGAAUGGACUACCUUACCGUUUUGAGAUUUCUAAGUUACAUUUUACAGUUGGAACCAAAGUGACGGUGUUGCCUACGGUUGGGCUCAGGGUAGAGGAAGAAGGCAGAUGAGGGGGGAUAACGGGUGGCACUGGGGGUGAGGUCCCAGGGCCUCACUCAACGUGGGAGAACAUGGACAGC
Molecule: long non-coding RNA, 671 nt
Filed under: Marmota monax (woodchuck)
Lineage: Eukaryota; Metazoa; Chordata; Mammalia; Rodentia; Sciuridae
Source: RNAcentral